This 74-nucleotide transfer RNA is filed under the name Caudoviricetes sp. RNAcentral describes it as "tRNA-Ile". It matches the Rfam family "tRNA". Rfam says of the family: Transfer RNA (tRNA) molecules are approximately 80 nucleotides in length. The record is from RNAcentral. Lineage: Duplodnaviria; Heunggongvirae; Uroviricota; Caudoviricetes.
GCUCAUUUAAUUCAGUUGGUUAGAAUGCUUGUCUGAUACGCAAGAAGUCCUUGGUUCAAAUCCAAGAAUGAGCA